CACGUAAGGUGCGAGCGUUGUUCGGAAUCAUUGGGCGUAAAGGGCGCGUAGGCGGCCUUGCAAGCGGGGUGUGAAAGGCGGGGGCCCAACCCCCGGACUGCGCCCCGAACUGCAGGGCUUGAGUCGCCGUGGCGCCGGGGGAAUUCCGGGUGUAGGGGUGAAAUCUGUAGAUAUCCGGAAGAACACCGGUGGCGAAGGCGUCCGGCGAGCGGACGACUGACGCUGAGGCGCGAAGGUGCGGGGAG
RNAcentral lists this ribosomal RNA (245 nucleotides) under uncultured Sphaerochaeta sp. RNAcentral describes it as "partial 16S ribosomal RNA". It matches the Rfam family "Bacterial small subunit ribosomal RNA", at positions 524 to 768 of the family's 1533-position model. Lineage: Bacteria; Pseudomonadati; Spirochaetota; Spirochaetia; Spirochaetales; Sphaerochaetaceae. The record is from RNAcentral.